RNAcentral lists this ribosomal RNA (255 nucleotides) under uncultured bacterium. Its description in RNAcentral is "partial 16S ribosomal RNA". It matches the Rfam family "Bacterial small subunit ribosomal RNA", at positions 524 to 778 of the family's 1533-position model. The record is from RNAcentral.
UACGUAGGGUGCGAGCGUUGUCCGGAAUUAUUGGGCGUAAAGAGCUUGUAGGCGGUUUGUCGCGUCUGCUGUGAAAAUCCGGGGCUCAACCCCGGACUUGCAGUGGGUACGGGCAGACUAGAGUGUGGUAGGGGAGAUUGGAAUUCCUGGUGUAGCGGUGAAAUGCGCAGAUAUCAGGAGGAACACCAACAGCGAAGGCAGAUCUCUGGGACGUUACUGACGCUGAGACGCGAAAGCGUGGGGAGCAAACAGGAU